AUGGGCCAUAAGGUCCUAAAGGAACUACUCACACAUGGUCAUGGAGGCAGCAAGGUUGAUGAAGAAGCCUCCCGUGGUGGAUACCCCCUCCGACAGGGUGCUGGAACAGGCCUCCAGAUUGGAUCUCCUCGGAAAAAGAACUUGUGGUGGCAGAAAAAAUUGAAAAAAUUGGUAAGGAGGGUUUUGCGAAAUAUGGAAUUUAUAGGCGGAAGAAUGGACGAAAAGCGGUGCCCAGGUGCCCCACGUGGCCUCCUGGUGCGGGUCACCCCUAGUUCGCGCCACCUGGCCGCAUGGGGUCCCUAG
This 303-nucleotide ribosomal RNA is filed under the name Triticum aestivum (bread wheat). Its description in RNAcentral is "partial small subunit ribosomal RNA". The record is from RNAcentral. Lineage: Eukaryota; Viridiplantae; Streptophyta; Magnoliopsida; Poales; Poaceae.